Molecule: ribosomal RNA, 370 nt
Filed under: uncultured organism
Description: bacterial SSU rRNA
Rfam family: Bacterial small subunit ribosomal RNA
Source: RNAcentral
CGAAGGGGGCUAGCGUUGCUCGGAAUUACUGGGCGUAAAGGGAGCGUAGGCGGACAUUUAAGUCAGAGGUGAAAUCCCGGAGCUUAACUUCGGAACUGCCUUUGAUACUGGGUGUCUUGAGUGUGAGAGAGGUAUGUGGAACUCCGAGUGUAGAGGUGAAAUUCGUAGAUAUUCGGAAGAACACCAGUGGCGAAGGCGUCAUACUGGCUCAUUACUGACGCUGAGGCUCGAAAGCGUGGGGAGCAAACAGGAUUAGAUACCCUGGUAGUCCACGCCGUAAACGGUGAUUGCUAGUUGUCGGGAAGCUUGCUUCUCGGUGACGCAGCUAACGCAUUAAGCAAUCCGCCUGGGGAGUACGGUCGCAAGAUUA